UACGACUACAUAUCAGGCAUAUCAAUAAGCGGAGGAAAAGAAACUAACAAGGAUUCCCUUAGUAACGGCGAGUGAAGCGGGAAGAGCUCAAAUUUGAAAUCUUCAAGGUUCUACCUUGACGAAUUGUAGUUUAAAGAAGUGUUUUCUGUUAGAUGAGUAGCAACAGUUCCUUGGAAUGGGACAUCAUAGAGGGUGAGAAUCCCGUAUUUGGUUAUUCAUUCUAGCUUUGUGAUACACUUUCAAAGAGUCGGAUUGUUUGGGAAUGCAGUCCAAAAUGGGUGGUAAAUUUCAUCUAAAGCUAAAUAUUGGCGAGAGACCGAUAGCGAACAAGUACCGUGAGGGAAAGAUGAAAAGAACUUUGAAAAGAGAGUUAAACAGUACGUGAAAUUGUCAAAAGGGAAGCGUUUGACACCAGUGUUGUUUUUCCGAAAAUCAAUUACGAAUGGCUUGAUUUUGUGUUGUAUUGACUUAUCAGCUUUCUUCACUUUUUUCGAGUCUUUCUUAAUGCACUUUUCGGUUAACAAGUCAACAUCAAUUUCUUUUGUUGUAAAAGAGUAUUCGGAAGGUGGCUUUCUUUUCGGAGAAAGUGUUUAUAGCCCUAUACUUCUACAAUCGGAGAGAUUGAGGUCUGCAGCGUAGAUCCUUCGGGGUUAGAUACACUUGUGCUAAGUUGUAGCUUUUCAUAGACAACUUGUUGACUAUGUUUAGUCAUGCGGCUUACUCGCUUGUGCUAUUUUACCUACGCUUAGGAUGUUGAGUAGCGACAUACGCAC
Molecule: ribosomal RNA, 773 nt
Filed under: uncultured Neocallimastigales
Lineage: Eukaryota; Fungi; Neocallimastigomycota; Neocallimastigomycetes; Neocallimastigales
Description: partial large subunit ribosomal RNA
Rfam family: Eukaryotic large subunit ribosomal RNA
Source: RNAcentral